GUCCGUCGGCACCGUGCAUCACAACCUCUGACCUCUGGAGGCAGGUUCCUUGGCUGGAGCCCAGGUGGACUCACCUGGGGCCCACCCACCUGGGGGUGCCAGGUCACGUGUCACAGUCACCAGUGUCAGCUCUGGGGGUUCCGCACAAACACUGGUAGGGUGGCUGCUGAUCCCGCCUGUCUGAAACACUUCAGGGGACAUGUGUUUAGGAUUCAAAAGAAAAGAAAGAUUCACACUGGAGUCAAGCAAGCGCUGGGGGUGGUCGGGAGCAUAGGAGGGUGUGAGGCCACAGCUUGGAGAAUCUGUUCAAAGCAUCGUCAAUUGAAAUCGCCCUGGAAUCACCUGCGACUAAACAAGGGAAAUGAGUAUAAAGUGUGAUAAACUCACAGUCUUACUGAGAGAAAAGAACAAAACAAAACACACAGCAUCCACUCUGAGAUGACCUCUACAUGGGCAAGGAUCCUGUAGAGAGGUAAGUAGGCAGCUUCCACACCUUCUGCCCAAAUCACAACAUUACAGAAAGCCAGAGCUGAAUGUUGGGCUAUGCCUGUUUCUUUACUGCAGGGCUUCUUAGAGACUUUAAUCAUCUAAUGCCCAGGGCAGCUCUUCUCUUCAUGGAGGGUGUCUUAGUCCAUUUAGUGUUGCUAUAAAGAAAUACCUGAGGCUGCAUGAUUUAUAACGAAAAGGAGUUUAUUUGCCUCUGCAGUUCUGCAGGCUGUACAGGAAGCAUGGCACUGGCAUAUGCUUCAGGCUGCUUCUACUCAUGAUGGAAAGCAAGGGGGACAGGCACAGUGGCUCACUCCAGUAACCCCAGCACUUUGGGAGGCCAAGGUGGGUGAAUUACUUGAGCCCAGGAAUUUGAGACCAGCCUGGGCAACAAAGGGAAACCCCAUCUGUUUAAAAAAAAAAAAAAAGAAAUAAAAGAAAAAAAGAAAGUGAAGAGGAGCCUGUGUGUGAAGAGAACACGUGGUGAGAGAGGAAGCAGAAGAGAGAGGGGGAGGUGCCAGGCUCUUUCUAAACACCAGCUCUCUUGGGAACCAACAGAGUGAGAACUCACCCCUGAGGGAGGCCAUUAAUCUAUCUAUGAGGGAUCCACUGCCAUGACCCAAACAUCUUCCAUUAGGUUCCACCUCCAACAUUUGGAUCAAAUUUCAACAUGAGAUUUGGAGAGGACAAUUAUCCAAACCAGAGCAAAGGGACAGAGUGCACUUGGUUUCUCACACUACUUUCGCCAUAGAAUCUCUUGUUAGUAGAACUUCUGUGAACACCAUCUGGGUAAUGCUGCACCACAUCAUGACCUGCCCUUCAUGAAAUUCAGCUCUGCAAACACUGUGUCACCAUCUCUUCAUUAUGCCGAAGGAGAUGUUCUAGGUUGUAGGAAGGGCCACCAAGAAUGAGGGACAGUUUCUGCCCU
Molecule: long non-coding RNA, 1414 nt
Filed under: Macaca mulatta (Rhesus monkey)
Lineage: Eukaryota; Metazoa; Chordata; Mammalia; Primates; Cercopithecidae
Description: lncRNA (ENSMMUG00000055750.1)
Source: RNAcentral